CCUACGGGUGGCAGCAGUCGAGAAUAAUGCACAAUGGGGGAAACCCUGAUGGAGCGAAGCAGCGUGGGGGAAUGAAGGUCUACGGAUUGUAAACCUCUGUCAUGAGGGAGCAAAGUAAAAAGAGAGUACCACAAGAGGAAGAGACGGCUAACUCUGUGCCAGCAGCUGCGGUAAUACAGAGGUCGCAAGAGUUGUUCGGAAUCACUGGGCGUAAAGCGUGCGUAGGCUGUUUCGUAAGUCGGGUGUGAAAGGCGAGGGCUCAACCCGCGGACGGCACAUGUAACUGCGAGACUUGAGUAAUGUAGGGGUAACCGGAAUUCUCGGUGUAGCAGUGAAAUGCUUAGAUAUCGAGAGGAACACUCGUGGCGAAGGCGGGUUCCUGGACAUUAACUGACGCUGAGGCACGAAGGCCAGGGUAGCGAAAGGGAUUAGAUACCCCAGUAGUC
This 446-nucleotide ribosomal RNA is filed under the name uncultured bacterium. RNAcentral describes it as "partial 16S ribosomal RNA". It matches the Rfam family "Bacterial small subunit ribosomal RNA", at positions 338 to 795 of the family's 1533-position model. The record is from RNAcentral.